This 226-nucleotide ribosomal RNA is filed under the name uncultured bacterium. Its description in RNAcentral is "partial 16S ribosomal RNA". It matches the Rfam family "Bacterial small subunit ribosomal RNA", at positions 1275 to 1500 of the family's 1533-position model. The record is from RNAcentral.
UAAAAAGACCAUCCCAGUUCGGAUUGCAGGCUGCAACCCGCCUGUAUGAAGUUGGAAUCGCUAGUAAUCGCGGAUCAGCAUGCCGCGGUGAAUACGUUCCCGGGCCUUGUACACACCGCCCGUCACACCAUGAGAGUCGGGAACACCCGAAGUCCGUAGCCUAACCGCAAGGAGGGCGCGGCCGAAGGUGGGUUCGAUAAUUGGGGUGAAGUCGUAACAAGGUAAC